UCAAAGGGUGUCCGACAAAGGUAUGAGUCUUUUAAACUCAAUAUGGCUUAGCCCUCUUUGAA
Molecule: transfer RNA, 62 nt
Filed under: Gondogeneia antarctica
Lineage: Eukaryota; Metazoa; Arthropoda; Malacostraca; Amphipoda; Pontogeneiidae
Description: tRNA-Lys
Source: RNAcentral